RNAcentral lists this ribosomal RNA (234 nucleotides) under uncultured bacterium. RNAcentral describes it as "partial 16S ribosomal RNA". It matches the Rfam family "Bacterial small subunit ribosomal RNA", at positions 100 to 334 of the family's 1533-position model. The record is from RNAcentral.
CGGGACGGGUGAGUAAUGUCUGGGAAACUAGCCUGAUGGAGGGGGAUAACUACUGGAAACGGUAGCUAAUACCGCAUAACGUCGCAAGACCAAAGAGGGGGACCUUAGGGCCUCUUGCCAUCGGAUGUGCCCAGAUGGGAUUAGCUAGUAGGUGGGGUAACGGCUCACCUAGGCGACGAUCCCUAGCUGGUCUGAGAGGAUGACCAGCCACACUGGAACUGAGACACGGUCCAG